This 600-nucleotide ribosomal RNA is filed under the name Cicindela (Rivacindela) sp. JP-1a. RNAcentral's name for it is "partial 16S ribosomal RNA". It matches the Rfam family "Bacterial large subunit ribosomal RNA", at positions 1858 to 2739 of the family's 2925-position model. Lineage: Eukaryota; Metazoa; Arthropoda; Insecta; Coleoptera; Carabidae. The record is from RNAcentral.
CCUGCCCAAUGAGGAUUUAAAUGGCCGCAGUAUUUUGACUGUGCAAAGGUAGCAUAAUUAUUAGUUUUUUAAUUGAAAGCUUGUAUGAAGGGUUGGACGAGAUGAAAUCUGUCUUUAUUUAAAUUAAAGUAUAAUUUAACUUUUAAGUAAGAAGGCUUAAAUGUUUAUAAAAGACGAGAAGACCCUAUAGAUCUUUAUUUAAUUGAAAUUUUAAUAAUUUAGGAUUAUUUUAAUUUAAAGUUUUAAUUGAAUUUUAUUGGGGUAAUAUAAAGAUUAAAUAAAUUCUUUUUAUUUAUAACAUURAUUUAUGAAUAUAUGAUCCAUUAAUAUUGAUUAUAAGAUUAAGUUACCUUAGGGAUAACAGCGUAAUUUUUUUGGAGAGCUCAUAUCGAUAAAAAAGUUUGCGACCUCGAUGUUGGAUUAAAAAUUAGCUUGGGUGCAGAAGCUCAAGAUUUUGGUCUGUUCGACCAUUAAAUUUUUACAUGAUCUGAGUUCAGACCGGCGUGAGCCAGGUCGGUUUCUAUCUUUAUUAAGAUAAAAUGUUUUAGUACGAAAGGACCAGACAUUUAAUAUAAUUAUAUUUAUUUUUUGAAGAAUAUU